RNAcentral lists this transfer RNA (69 nucleotides) under Kathetostoma albigutta. Its description in RNAcentral is "tRNA-Ala". It matches the Rfam family "tRNA". From Rfam's summary of the family: Transfer RNA (tRNA) molecules are approximately 80 nucleotides in length. Their secondary structure includes four short double-helical elements and three loops (D, anti-codon, and T loops). Further hydrogen bonds mediate the characteristic L-shaped molecular structure. tRNAs have two regions of fundamental functional importance: the anti-codon, which is responsible for specific mRNA codon recognition, and the 3' end, to which the tRNAs corresponding amino acid is attached (by aminoacyl-tRNA synthetases). tRNAs cope with the degeneracy of the genetic code in two manners: having more than one tRNA (with a specific anti-codon) for a particular amino acid; and 'wobble' base-pairing, i.e. permitting non-standard base-pairing at the 3rd anti-codon position. The record is from RNAcentral. Lineage: Eukaryota; Metazoa; Chordata; Actinopteri; Uranoscopiformes; Uranoscopidae.
AAGGCUUUAGCUUAAUUAAAGCGUUUGUUUUGCAUGCAGAUGAUGUUGGGUAGCUCCCUGCAAGUCUUA